UAGAUGACGCUGGCGGCGUGCUUAACACAUGCAAGUCGAACGAUGAUCCGGUGCUUGCAUCGGGGAUUAGUGGCGAACGGGUGAGUAACACGUGAGUAACCUGCCCUUGACUCUGGGAUAAGCCUGGGAAACUGGGUCUAAUACCGGAUAUGACCAUUCCGCGCAUGUGAUGGUGGUGGAAAGCUUUUGCGGUUUUGGAUGGACUCGCGGCCUAUCAGCUUGUUGGUGGGGUAAUGGCCUACCAAGGCGACGACGGGUAGCCGGCCUGAGAGGGUGACCGGCCACACUGGGACUGAGACACGGCCCAGACUCCUACGGGAGGCAGCAGUGGGGAAUAUUGCACAAUGGGCGAAAGCCUGAUGCAGCGACGCCGCGUGAGGGAUGACGGCCUUCGGGUUGUAAACCUCUUUCAGUAGGGAAGAAGCGAAAGUGACGGUACCUGCAGAAGAAGCGCCGGCUAACUACGUGCCAGCAGCCGCGGUAAUACGUAGGGCGCAAGCGUUAUCCGGAAUUAUUGGGCGUAAAGAGCUCGUAGGCGGUUUGUCGCGUCUGCUGUGAAAGACCGGGGCUCAACUCCGGUUCUGCAGUGGGUACGGGCAGACUAGAGUGAUGUAGGGGAGACUGGAAUUCCUGGUGUAGCGGUGAAAUGCGCAGAUAUCAGGAGGAACACCGAUGGCGAAGGCAGGUCUCUGGGCAUUAACUGACGCUGAGGAGCGAAAGCAUGGGGAGCGAACAGGAUUAGAUACCCUGGUAGUCCAUGCCGUAAACGUUGGGCACUAGGUGUGGGGGACAUUCCACGUUUUCCGCGCCGUAGCUAACGCAUUAAGUGCCCCGC
RNAcentral lists this ribosomal RNA (835 nucleotides) under Arthrobacter sp. RNAcentral describes it as "bacterial SSU rRNA". It matches the Rfam family "Bacterial small subunit ribosomal RNA", at positions 26 to 872 of the family's 1533-position model. Lineage: Bacteria; Bacillati; Actinomycetota; Actinomycetes; Micrococcales; Micrococcaceae. The record is from RNAcentral.